Molecule: ribosomal RNA, 407 nt
Filed under: uncultured bacterium
Lineage: Bacteria
Description: partial 16S ribosomal RNA
Rfam family: Bacterial small subunit ribosomal RNA
Source: RNAcentral
AUUGAACGCUUGCGGCAGGCCUAACACAUGCAAGUCGAGCGGAGCGGCGGACGGGUGAGUAAUGCCUAGGCAUCUGCCUGGUAGUGCGGGAUAACGUCCGGAAACGGGCGCUAAUACCGCAUCCUCUCGGAUGAGCCUCGGUCGGAUUAGCUUUUUGGUGGGGUACAGGCCUACCAAGGGGACGAUCCGUAACUGGUCUGAGAGGAUGAUCAGUCACACUGGAACUGAGACACGGUCCAGACGCCUACGGGAGGCAGCAGUGGGGAAUAUUGGACAAUGGGCGAAAGCCUGAUCCAGCCAUGCCGCGUGUGUGAAGAAGGUCUUCGGAUUGUAAAGCACUUUAAGUUGGGAGGCGUUACCAACAGAAGAAGCACCGGCUAACUUCGUGCCAGCAGCCGCGGUAAUAC